GCUGCACCCCGUGAACAAUAUUGUUAACAAGUUGUUCCGAGUUGUUCAAUCAUCAAUAUUGUUGCAAGUUGAUAACAUGAUUGUCAACACGUUGCAACAACGUUGAUGGUUCAACAACAUUGUUAACAAUAUUGUUUACGGGGUGCAGC
Molecule: non-coding RNA, 149 nt
Organism: Paramuricea clavata
Lineage: Eukaryota; Metazoa; Cnidaria; Anthozoa; Malacalcyonacea; Plexauridae
Source: the annotation of a GenBank genome assembly